This 520-nucleotide ribosomal RNA is filed under the name Zeugophora scutellaris. RNAcentral's name for it is "partial 12S ribosomal RNA". The record is from RNAcentral. Lineage: Eukaryota; Metazoa; Arthropoda; Insecta; Coleoptera; Zeugophoridae.
GCCAGCAGUUGCGGUUAGACAAAUUAUUCAAUAAAAUUUUUUAGGUUAAUAAUUAAUUAUAUAUUAUUAGAUUUUAAAUUAAAUUUUAUUAGGUGAAAUUUUAAUUUUAUUUAUAAAUUAGCAAAUAAUUUUUUGAGGUUAAAAAAUUUAAUAUUUAAACUAGGAUUAGAUACCCUAUUAUUUUAAAUGUGAAUUAUAAUAUACUUGAUUAUUAAAAGUUAUGUUCUUUAAAAUUAAAAAAUUUGGCGGUAUUUUAGUCUUUUCAGAGGAACCUGUUCUAUAAUUGAUAGUCCACGAUUUAAUAUACUUUUAUUUAAAAUUUACAUAUCGUCGUAAUUUAAAUAUUUUUAUAGAAUUUUAAUAUUUAAAAUAUUUUUAAAUAAAAAAUCAGAUCAAGAUGUAGUUUAUAUAAAAGAUUGAAAUGGGUUACAAUAAAAUUAUUUUUGGAUUAUUAUAUGAAAAAAAAUAUGAAUUUGGAUUUGAAAGUAAAAUUAUUAAAAUUAUUAAUUGAUAGCCCUGC